RNAcentral lists this ribosomal RNA (467 nucleotides) under Bacillus sp. (in: firmicutes). RNAcentral describes it as "bacterial SSU rRNA". It matches the Rfam family "Bacterial small subunit ribosomal RNA", at positions 118 to 571 of the family's 1533-position model. Lineage: Bacteria; Bacillati; Bacillota; Bacilli; Caryophanales; Bacillaceae. The record is from RNAcentral.
UGGGUAACCUGCCUGUAAGACUGGGAUAACUCCGGGAAACCGGAGCUAAUACCGGAUAGUUCCUUGAACCGCAUGGUUCAAGGAUGAAAGACGGUUUCGGCUGUCACUUACAGAUGGACCCGCGGCGCAUUAGCUAGUUGGUGGGGUAAUGGCUCACCAAGGCGACGAUGCGUAGCCGACCUGAGAGGGUGAUCGGCCACACUGGGACUGAGACACGGCCCAGACUCCUACGGGAGGCAGCAGUAGGGAAUCUUCCGCAAUGGACGAAAGUCUGACGGAGCAACGCCGCGUGAGUGAUGAAGGUUUUCGGAUCGUAAAGCUCUGUUGUUAGGGAAGAACAAGUGCGAGAGUAACUGCUCGCACCUUGACGGUACCUAACCAGAAAGCCACGGCUAACUACGUGCCAGCAGCCGCGGUAAUACGUAGGUGGCAAGCGUUGUCCGGAAUUAUUGGGCGUAAAGGGCUCG